UAAUACGAAGGGACCUAGCGUAGUUCGGAAUUACUGGGCUUAAAGAGCACGUAGGUGGUUAAGAAAGUUGGUGGUGAAAUCCCAAGGCUUAACCUUGGAACUGCCACCAAAACUUUUUAACUAGAGUAUGAUUGAGGUAAGCGGAAUUUCUAGUGUAGAGGUGAAAUUCGUAGAUAUUAGAAAGAACACCAAUUGCGAAGGCAGCUUUCUGGAUCAUUACUGACACUGAGGUGCGAAAGCAUGGGUAGCGAAGAGGAUUAGAUACCCUCGUAGUCCAUGCCGUAAACGAUGUGUGCUAGACGUUGGAAAUUUAUUUUUCAGUGUCGCAGCGAAAGCGUUAAGCACACCGCCUGGGGAGUACGACCGCAAGGUUA
RNAcentral lists this ribosomal RNA (374 nucleotides) under uncultured Alphaproteobacteria bacterium. Its description in RNAcentral is "bacterial SSU rRNA". It matches the Rfam family "Bacterial small subunit ribosomal RNA", at positions 521 to 896 of the family's 1533-position model. Lineage: Bacteria; Pseudomonadati; Pseudomonadota; Alphaproteobacteria. The record is from RNAcentral.